GGGCCGCGGUAUUUUGACCGUGCAAAGGUAGCAUAAUAGUUAGGUCUUUAAUUGAGAUCUUGUAUGAAUGGUUUGACAAAAGAAAGCCUGUCUUUGUACUCAUUAGUUGAAUUUAACUUUUAAGUGAAAAGGCUUAAAUUUCUUAGGGGGACGAUAAGACCCUAUAAAACAUUGUGUUGGGGCGACAAAAAUAAAAUUAAUAACUGUUUUUAUUUAUGACAAUUAUGUGUGUUAUGAUCCUAAUUAAAGAUUAUAAGUUUAAGUUACUUUAGGGAUAACAGCGUUAUUUUUUUUGAGAGUUCUUAUCGAAAAAAAAGUUUGCGACCUCGAUGUUGAAUUAAAAUUUCUACACAAUUGUAGGAGUUGUGUAAGAAGGUCUGUUCGACCUUUAAAUUUUU
This 398-nucleotide ribosomal RNA is filed under the name Tmethypocoelis ceratophora. Its description in RNAcentral is "partial 16S large subunit ribosomal RNA". It matches the Rfam family "Bacterial large subunit ribosomal RNA", at positions 1928 to 2597 of the family's 2925-position model. The record is from RNAcentral. Lineage: Eukaryota; Metazoa; Arthropoda; Malacostraca; Decapoda; Dotillidae.